Felis catus (domestic cat) is the source of this 6745-nucleotide long non-coding RNA. RefSeq lists it as uncharacterized. The record is from RefSeq and is a predicted model, not a curated record. The transcript is spliced from 2 exons. Lineage: Eukaryota; Metazoa; Chordata; Mammalia; Carnivora; Felidae.
GCGUGCCCGCCUGGAGCGAGCACGCACACGUUUGGAGAGCACGCUCUGCUGGAGAGCGCGCGUGCACGGCUGAACCGGCCCCGAGUCAGGCACCUGGACACAGGUGACAGCAGGCCCCGACGUGUCGGUGCUGGUGGGACUGCACUUCCCGUUCCGGCUGCACUUUUCAGAAGCACGUGGACAGAAGAGCGGUUCCAAACAGGCAGAUACCUCGUCACUUGAUUUCCGGAGUCUCGGUAAGGCGGCGGAAGUUUGCCGGGGAGUGAGCAUUUUGGACGUUCGGGCUGCGCUCAGGAGCCACAGACUGGGUGACGUGGGAACAACGACGUCCACUUCCUCGGUCCCGCAGGCUCGGUGUCCGAGGUCACGGCUCCAGAAGAUUCGGGGAACCCGCUCUGGUUCCCAGAUGCCGACUUCUCGCCGUGUCCUCACGUGGUGCAGGGCCAGGGGCCGGCAGGGGUCUCUGCUGCAGGGCACCACUCCCCCAUCACGCAGGCGCCACCCUCCUGCCUUCAUCACCCGCACAGCCACGCUGGGGGGCGGGUUCAACACGUGAACUUGUGAGGACACAACUGUUUUUAGUCCAGAGCAGUAGGACAAACAUCAGUUUGACUGAGUUUGUGUGUCCAAAACAGAAUUUGGCCGGGAGAAAGGAUAUAUAUUUUAUUGGUACCUAACAGUAAGUUUACUUGAGAUGAGAAUCUUCAAUAAUAUGUGUUUAUCCCAAGAAAAUCUUUUCACCAGUAAUAAACUUUUCCUUUGAAACCGGAAUUCAAGGUAAAUGCGAAACACAAAGAACAUGCACAGUGUUUCCUCCAGGUAAACCAGAGUUCCUGUUUGCCCUCAGGUGGGCUCUCUGGUUACCGUAUAUUGUGACUCCUACGCAGAAGUAGAGUCGUAUCCCCAUAGGUUUGGGGGGGGUUAGAUUUCGGGAGCCCUGCAGGUAAGUGGGGACCACCGCCCAUCAUGGUUCGUGAAAAGCCUUUUUAGAAAUCGGCUUCGAGCCGAUCUGGGGAUUUCUGUGCAAAGCCCUCUCUCACCGACGCUCGGCGGCAGAGAUGAGAGAGGUUCGCCAGCGGCCUUAUGAAAUGUCAUGUGACCUUCUUCCUUUAGGAGUUAGGGAUUUUCUGUGCCUUCAUAAGAGCUCAGAGUGAGCCUAGACGCAUUUAAAAAAUGCAAGGUCGGGCCAUGGGCCUGGGCCACGGCUCUGCCUUAUUGGCUUCAGAUCCGACAUCCUCAGAACUGAUGAAAUUAUUGCCAGCUUAGCCCCCAGAGCCUUGAUCCCACCCUAAAGGAAACGUUCAAGAAGUGACUCAACCGUGGAAGUGCCCGGAAUGUGCAGCCAGACCCACAGUUGAGCACUUCAGGGUGAUUGCUGGUGUUCGCUUACGUAUAUUUUAUUCAGAGAAUGAUUCAGUCACUCUUGACUCAUUCCCUCUAAUUUCAAACUCAGGGUGUAAAUAAUUUGACUGGUUGUCUCUAUUUUUUUAUUAUUAUUAAUAAGCAUCUUUAAGUUGUUCGAGAGCACAGGGAACCGGGUGGCUCAGUCGGUUGAGUGUCUGUCUCCUGAUUUCAGUUCAGGUCAUGAUCUCAUUGUUUGUGAGUUCAAACCCCAUGUCGGGCUCUGAGCUGACAGCACAGAGCCUGCUUGGGAUUCUCUCUCUCUCCCUCUUUCUCUGUCUCUCCCUCUCUCUAAAUAAAUAAAUGUGUAAAAAAAAAAGUUAUUUGAAAGCAAGAGUCAGCAGCCACAACCCGUGGGCCACAUCGGAUCCGUGGACAGUUUUUGUAAAUGUGGCUUCAUUAGAACAUGGCUGCGUUCGUUCAUCUGGACCUUGGUAACCCGGCACCAUCAGCUGCGGCCUCAAACGUGUUCUUAUUCUGCCUUCCAGCCGUAGCAUUCAGAAAACAUUCCCUGGGCAUUUGCCGUGUACAGACAUGCUAGGGGCCGGGGACACACAGGUGCCUGGAAUGUGGCACCCCCCCGCAUCUGUGGGGAGGAUGAGUGUCCGCUCGUUACUCCCAGCAUGCUCGCACCUCCCACUCCAGGCAGAAGGCCCCGGUAGCCCAGAGAGGCUGUUCCGCGCUGGGCCCCGCAGGAUGUGGGGGUGGGCAGGGGAGCCGGCAGGUACGGUGUCCCCAGUGGAGCACGCCAGGAAAGCAGAGAUCUUCGGGGGGGCAAGAUGCGUGGACGGGGCUUCGGGCGGCUCAGUCUCGGGCUACAAAUCCCAGACAGGCGGGGAGGCCAGGGAGGGGCCCAGGAGUCAGGGGGUAAGUGCGGGGACUGCUGGGCUUCCUUGGGUGUCGUGUUGUCGUCAGCCCCCUCGUUCAUCCAUCGGGCCGUUCAGCACAGAUUUGACCACUUUCUAGGCUCGAGAGUCUGAGAGCUAGAACUCACAUAACAAAGCCCUUGCCGUCCAGCCGCGGACACGUGGGGAGAGCAGGGCAGGGGGCCUCGGAGCACAGAGUGGCCGGCUGGCUCUUCCCGCGGAAGGGGACUUCCUAAAUCUCCCCGAGCCUCACGCGUCCCAGGGAGAGUAACUCCCCCUCUGAGAUGUGACCUGCCCGGGAAGUGACAAGUAGGUGGGAAUGUGCAGAAGUACAUGUGACAGAAAGACAGACGUGUGAAACUCUGGGCACCCCGGGGGUGGCUCGUGAACCUCUGCUUGCCAGGAGGGUGAAGAACACCUCUGUGUGAAUCAGAAGUUUCUGGAAGAGCUGAGGGCCUUACACCCCUUGGACAGGUAGAGGCUGAGUAGACGGUGCCUAGGCGGCUGGAGGAUUUCUGGGGAAUUUAAGUGGGAGUCGUCCUCGUCUUUGAGGGCAGCACACUGAGAUCCGAGCGCCCCGGGCAUGACUCAGCACAGACACUUGGCGCUGAUUCUGGAAAUCCAAAGUGCCUGGGGUAAGCGACAUAAACCAGGGGUAUUGGAUUUUGUUCAGAGUGAAGGCCAGGAGGUUAAACAGGCUCAGUGAGGGGGACUCUCAGGUGUGACCCCAGCCCCGUCCUGGGUGCGGCAUCCACCUGUGGCUUGGCCAGGGCACACCGAUUCCUGCACCCGCCCUCCAGCAACCGCGUGGGACAAGAGACAAAUCUGAGCCAGAAAAGAGGGAUUUAGGGAACACCCCAGAUGCUGUCCUUGGCGGCUGUGACACCCUGGCUGGCGCUCUCUGCCGGCCUUAGCCACCAUGGCAAUCGUGAGGGGGCAGGGGAAGCCCCGUCUGCUAUAUCUUCCCUUUGGUGCUUUUUCCGCUUCCAGGCUUCCUCCCCCCAGCAGCCCGCACCUGCCUGCGCCUGCUGCGCCUGAGCCCACAGAUCUUGUUUUUAUUUCCACGGGAGCUCCUAAAGAUGCCUGUUAAUAUUGCAACUUUCUGGUCAAGAAGCUCACGUCUGAUAAAGAGUCUUUGGGCCACGGUCUCUUAAGUCAGCCUAAGGGAGUAACUCUAAAAGUGGAGAUACCAGGCUUCAUAGAAGUCUCAUCAGGGGCACCGUGAGGGCCGCCUCACGCUCGCUGAACCUCAGAUGCUAUGUCUUGAAGAACAGAGUCGUGGGAGUCGAGAGUUGAAUCAACAGCCUGGGCUCAUAGUUUGUUGACAAAUUGAUUCUGUAGAGACAUCCAAUGUGAAUUCGCGAAAGGUCAAGGAAAAAUCUGUUUGUUUUUCCAUUUAUUUGUGAACACUCAAAAGUAAUUUUUCCAAGGGAGGAAAGCCUGAUCUGUUCCAUGACUUCCUCAAGGGCGCCUCGUCUCACCUGAGACAAGAAUAAAUGGCCGUGUUGGUCAUCACGCAGUGCCGUGACACUGUAUCUGUUCAUCCUUACGGUCACAGAGCUCACAAAGGAUUCCUGCCUGUGCACCUGAGCACAGCAUCAAAGGAAAAUAGUCGAUUCUUCCAGUUUUAUUCCAUGCAAGUUUCAGGGUUUACCCCAGAACUCCAGUCCCACAGCCAGAGUCCCAGCUGCACCAGGACAUACCGACUCCUCCUCACAGAGUACACGGUUCCAUCUGGGAGGCAGAUCGCACUGGAAAGAAAGCGUAAUGUAUCUAGACAGAUAACUUUUUUGGUAAUUUGGUUAUUUUGUGUAAAAGCCUGAAGUCUACCUUUUAUAUACACUAAUAAAAUUUUACAGCGUACUAACGUCUUCAAGCAAGACAUGUCAGCCCACAGAGGCCGACAUCAUGGCACCCUACAAGGUGAGCAAAGGCUCUGAUUUGGAAAAUCACAUCCUUGUCUGAGCUCCGGACGUGGGUUACGGUGUGUGCCUUAAAACCAUGCAGAGUUUGAGCCCAUGUUGCAGGGUUAACGAGCUGCACAGCCUGGAGCAGAUGACCUCUCUACACCCCGGUGUCCUCGCUUAGGAGGUGGGAGAAACCACAGCUCGGGCCUGUCUGUUCCAGAGCCCGAGAGCCAGGGCACAGGGCUUGGUGCUGAUGGGAGUCCCGCAUACGCCCACCACGUCACCUGCAGGUGGUGGCUGGAGGUGCCAGACCUGAGCAGCUGCAGCCACGAGACACCUUGAACCCAAACCCGGAGGUUAAGCCGCAUCAGCCUGGACCACAGGUUUGCUCUGGGCACGGCUCUUCAGAUCAGACACCAAGGCUGGAGGGAGGUUGGCCUGUCUGGACAGUGAGCCGCGUGCAGAAAUGGGUCUUCUCCCAAACUGGACCUGAUAAAUGCCUGACAAGACCUUGAAGAAAAGUGUCAGAGAUGUGAGGGUCCCAUAAUAAUUUAGUGAGUGUGGAGCGUGUGCGCUCGGGUGAAGCUGGAAGGCCACAAGGGGCAAGUCCGCGGCAACCACACCGUUAGAGGGUUGACUGGCACACACGCUGAGCAUAGCUCCCCAUCACAGGCGGCCUGUUUAGUGUCGACAUGCUCUGUGAAGCAGCCCAAAUUUGGAGAAAUCUAUGCUUACUCACCCCAGGCCUUCCCUGUAAAACACUCUCAGCGCCCGUCCUGACAGGUGUGGGAAGCAGCCCAGAAACUCAUUUCCAGAGCCUCCCACCAGGAGUGCCUUGGACCAACCCCCAGAGUUGUUAUCUUUUCUCGCUCAGCGUCAGUAAUAUGCCAGCAGAAAGGUCAAUGACCUCUGUCUGAGAGGUUUUCUUAGAAGAAACAGAAUGUUCUGGAACACAGUGACGACAUGGAAAAAAGAGUGUGUGUGUGCCACUUGGCAGGUGGAUGUAAGCCAACCCGAGGGGGGCAUGGGGCACUUGGCAUCAGUGAGCCUGUGAGUGGCUCUCAUGAUGGAAGGUUCCGGAAGCUUCCAGCACAUCCGAUAGAGUGGGUGGAUUCAGGAGGGGCUGGCGCCUGGGUGUCCCUUAGGGGCCUGCUGUAAGCCACUCCACGGGAAUAUCGUCACCCUGGCCAAAGGGCUGCCCCCAACCCAGGAAGAAAGACAUUCUUCAAACCGAUACAGGCCCAGUGAUGCUUCCGAGAAGUUUCCCUUGUGAUUUACCACAACCGUGAAGCUUGUGCAGCGCAGGUACCACUGGCAGAAAGCAGUGGCCACACAUUCCAGCCGGGAAGCCUGCACCUGACUCGUGGGGGAGGCCGCCCACGCCCAGCUCAGGUGAGGCCAGGACAGCCUGGGGCGGGCUGACUGGGCGGGGGCCUCUAGGUGGUGAGGCAGCACAGAAGCGCAGUGAGGACGGAGAGCAGGAAGCAGAGACCACCGAUCCUGGAGUUUGUAAUCGUAGCAAAAUACACAAAACACGAACUUUACUGUCUUGACCCCUUUGAGCCUGUGGCUGGCACCGUCUGCUUUCAGUUCAUGCUGCUGCACGGCCAUCGCCACCCUCACCGCCAGGCCGGUCCGUCACCUCUGCUGGACGGCGUCUGCCAAGCGAGCCACCCAGGAGCCCCUCAAAUGCAAGCUACUUUGAAAUAAGACUUGCCCUACGUUGAAGACCCAACACCGACUAGGUCCCAACUAGUGGCAGUAACUUAACGUAUUCCUGAGACUCAGCAUUCCCAUCUGAAAAAGGAAAUGGUGGCACGUGCCCUGUAAAGAUGUCAUAAGGACUUCCACACAGGACCACACAUGGACCACACAGGUGCCAUGUGUCCUCAGUGUGCCAUGUGUCCUCAGUCCUCAGUGUCUGUUGAUAAUUACUGUUCAUGUCUGGGCACCUUAUCACAGAGGAACCCCACUGCCCCCAUAUCUUGUGCAGUAUGUUGUCCUGUAAAUUCUCUUAACGGGGGGGUUGUUAUUGCUUCCUGAGCGAGUUACCCCAUUUUGCCACAGGGAAGCAGAUGGCUGCACCACAGGGCUCACUGGGGCGCCCUCCCUGCUGGACACACAGCCCUUCAGUCCUUCAGGAUGGCCUGGGCCCUCAGCGUUGUGUCCUACGCUUCUCACACCUAGAAAACUAAUUUUUGAAAUAUGAUCAAAACUCGGCAGGGAGACUCCUGAGUUACAGAGGACACGCGAUGCUGUAACGGGCUAUUACGUAACGACCAGAAAUAUCUGUGAUUCAAGUCUGCACAUGUCUCAGGGAAAGAACUUCUCUGUCACAAUGUGUGAAAUCACCAAGCAGAGCAAGCGAGAAAGCAAACUGCACAUUUGUGGAGCCGACGCGAGCUUUUAUUGUAGGUGUGAACUUACUCUCGAUUUUUAGCAAGAAUCAAAGAUUCCACGUUAUCUUCUUCGUGUCUUGGCAAGUCAAUCAGUAACGACUGAGGCUACAGAAGAUCUUUUCAAACUCCCUUUUAUCUUUUACAGAAAUAUAGAUUGUUUUCUAACACGUAA